This 777-nucleotide ribosomal RNA is filed under the name uncultured Neocallimastigales. Its description in RNAcentral is "partial large subunit ribosomal RNA". It matches the Rfam family "Eukaryotic large subunit ribosomal RNA", at positions 22 to 621 of the family's 3401-position model. The record is from RNAcentral. Lineage: Eukaryota; Fungi; Neocallimastigomycota; Neocallimastigomycetes; Neocallimastigales.
AUAUCAGUCAUGCAUAGCAUAUCAAUAAGCGGAGGAAAAGAAACUAACAAGGAUUCCCUUAGGUAACGGCGAGUGAAGCGGGAAGAGCUCAAAUUUGAAAUCUUCAAGGUUUUACCUUGACGAAUUGUAGUUUAAAGAAGUGUUUUCUGUUGAAGUUUUGGUAAAAGUUCUUUGGAAUAGGACAUCAUAGAGGGUGAGAAUCCCGUAUUUGACCAUUACUUUCAGCUUUGUGAUACACUUUCAAAGAGUCGGAUUGUUUGGGAAUGCAGUCCAAAAUGGGUGGUAAAUUUCAUCUAAAGCUAAAUAUUGGCGAGAGACCGAUAGCGAACAAGUACCGUGAGGGAAAGAUGAAAAGAACUUUGAAAAGAGAGUUAAACAGUGACGUGAAAUUGUCAAAAGGGAAGCGUUUGACACCAGUGUUGUUUUCUCGAAAAUCAAUUAAAAAGAGUUGGAUUUUGUGUUGUAUUGACUUUAUCAGGCUUUCUUCACUCUUUUCCAGCUUUUUUUAAUGCACUUUUCGUUUAACAAGUCAACAUCAGUUUCUUUUGUUGUAAAAAGGUCAUUGGAAGGUGGCUUUCUCUUCGGAGAAAGUGUUUAUAGCCUUUGACUCAUGCAAUCGGAGAGACUGAGGUCUGCAGCGUAGAUCCUUCGGGGUUAGAUACAUUUGUGCUAAGUUAUAGCUUUUCAUAGACAACUUGUUGACUAUGUUUAGUCUUGUAGCUUACUCGCUUAUGCUAUUUUACCUACGCUUAGGAUGUUGAACUCUAUCACACACAG